Non-coding RNA from Oryzias latipes (Japanese medaka), 254 nucleotides. The record is from RefSeq and is a predicted model, not a curated record. Lineage: Eukaryota; Metazoa; Chordata; Actinopteri; Beloniformes; Adrianichthyidae.
CAAAGCUGGAAGUGGCUACGGGGCAAUUGCCGAGCAGCUUGGUGAAUGGAUUGGACUGGAGUGCUUCAGAGACUCCUCCAGGACUCCCACUGGCGUGCAUUAAAAACACAGCUGAAGUUUAAAGGCUGCCAAACAUCUCCACACAUGUUUCCCCCCCCGUGGUAUUAAAGCUUACAUGGGAGGUUGACAGCCUGAGGAAUGCGCCCUUCCUGGUGUUCAUCCGGGUCUCUGACGUCGAAAAGCUGAAUGUCACG